Xiphophorus hellerii (green swordtail) is the source of this 78-nucleotide long non-coding RNA. RefSeq lists it as uncharacterized. The transcript has 3 exons. The record is from RefSeq and is a predicted model, not a curated record. NCBI's taxonomy places the organism in Eukaryota, Metazoa, Chordata, Actinopteri, Cyprinodontiformes, Poeciliidae.
CAACUUCAGUGUUGUUUUCUCUUGCAUCAAGUGGGUCGACCAUCUUUCAAUAACAUGAAGGGCUAAAUUAUUCAUAAU